This 253-nucleotide ribosomal RNA is filed under the name uncultured bacterium. RNAcentral describes it as "partial 16S ribosomal RNA". It matches the Rfam family "Bacterial small subunit ribosomal RNA", at positions 524 to 776 of the family's 1533-position model. The record is from RNAcentral.
UACGUAGGGCGCAAGCGUUGUCCGGAAUCACUGGGCGUAAAGGGCGCGUAGGCGGCCUGAUAAGUAGGGGGUGAAAUCCUGCGGCUUAACCGCAGGGCUGCCUUCUAAACUGUCAGGCUCGAGCACAGUAGAGGCAGGUGGAAUUCCCGGUGUAGCGGUGGAAUGCGUAGAGAUCGGGAAGAACAUCAGUGGCGAAGGCGGCCUGCUGGGCUGUUGCUGACGCUGAGGCGCGACAGCGUGGGGAGCAAACAGG